Molecule: ribosomal RNA, 460 nt
Filed under: uncultured bacterium
Lineage: Bacteria
Description: partial 16S ribosomal RNA
Rfam family: Bacterial small subunit ribosomal RNA
Source: RNAcentral
CCUACGGGAGGCAGCAGUGAGGAAUAUUGGUCAAUGGUCGGGAGACUGAACCAGCCAAGCCGCGUGAGGGAGGAAGGUACAGAGUAUCGUAAACCUCUUUUGUCAGGGAACAAAGGCGGGGACGUGUCCCCGGCUGAGUGUACCUGAAGAAAAAGCAUCGGCUAACUCCGUGCCAGCAGCCGCGGUAAUACGGAGGAUGCGAGCGUUAUCCGGAUUUAUUGGGUUUAAAGGGUGCGUAGGCGGUCCGUUAAGUCAGCGGUUCAAGCCCGGGGGUCAACCCCGGGACGGCCGUUGAAACUGGCAGUCUCGAGUGUGAGAGAAGUAUGCGGAAUGCGCGGUGUAGCGGUGAAAUGCAUAGAGAUCGCGCAGAACUCCGAUUGCGAAGGCAGCAUGCCGGCUCCACACUGACGCUGAGGCACGAAAGCGUGGGUAGCGAACAGGAUUAGAUACCCUAGUAGUC